UACGUAGGUGGCAAGCGUUGUCCGGAUUUACUGGGCGUAAAGAGCGCGCAGGCGGUCGGAUAAGUCGAAUGUGAAAGCCCCCGGCUUAACUGGGGAGGGUCAUUCGAUACUGUUCGACUGGAAGGCAGGAGAGGGAAGCGGAAUUCCCGGUGUAGUGGUGAAAUGCGUAGAUAUCGGGGGGAACACCAGUGGCGAAGGCGGCUCACUGGCCCGGUACUGACGCUGAGGUGCGAAAGCGUGGGGAGCAAACAGG
This 253-nucleotide ribosomal RNA is filed under the name uncultured bacterium. RNAcentral's name for it is "partial 16S ribosomal RNA". It matches the Rfam family "Bacterial small subunit ribosomal RNA", at positions 524 to 776 of the family's 1533-position model. The record is from RNAcentral.